Molecule: ribosomal RNA, 931 nt
Filed under: uncultured Bacilli bacterium
Lineage: Bacteria; Bacillati; Bacillota; Bacilli
Description: SSU rRNA
Rfam family: Bacterial small subunit ribosomal RNA
Source: RNAcentral
AGAGUUUGAUCCUGGCUCAGGACGAACGCUGGCGGCGUGCCUAAUACAUGCAAGUCGAGCGAAUCAUUAGGAGCUUGCUCCUUUUGGUUAGCGGCGGACGGGUGAGUAACACGUGGGCAACCUGCCUGUAAGACUGGGAUAACACCGGGAAACCGGUGCUAAUACCGGAUAAUCCUUUUCCUCACAUGAGGGAAAGCUAAAAGACGGUUUCGGCUGUCACUUACAGAUGGGCCCGCGGCGCAUUAGCUAGUUGGUGAGGUAACGGCUCACCAAGGCGACGAUGCGUAGCCGACCUGAGAGGGUGAUCGGCCACACUGGGACUGAGACACGGCCCAGACUCCUACGGGAGGCAGCAGUAGGGAAUCUUCCGCAAUGGACGAAAGUCUGACGGAGCAACGCCGCGUGAGCGAUGAAGGCCUUCGGGUCGUAAAGCUCUGUUGUUAGGGAAGAACAAGUAUCGGAGUAACUGCCGGUACCUUGACGGUACCUAACCAGAAAGCCACGGCUAACUACGUGCCAGCAGCCGCGGUAAUACGUAGGUGGCAAGCGUUGUCCGGAAUUAUUGGGCGUAAAGCGCGCGCAGGCGGUCCUUUAAGUCUGAUGUGAAAGCCCACGGCUCAACCGUGGAGGGUCAUUGGAAACUGGGGGACUUGAGUGCAGAAGAGGAAAGUGGAAUUCCACGUGUAGCGGUGAAAUGCGUAGAGAUGUGGAGGAACACCAGUGGCGAAGGCGACUUUCUGGUCUGUAACUGACGCUGAGGCGCCAAAAGCGUGGGGAGCAAACAGGAUUAGAUACCCCUGGUAGUCCACGCCGUAAACCGAUGAGUUGCUAAGUGUUAAAAGGUUUCCGCCCUUUAGUGCUGCAGCUAACGCAUUAAGCACCUCCGCCCUGGGGAGUACGGCCGCAAGGCUGAAACUCAAAGGAAUGACGG